GGACAUUCAGCAGGAGGCAGGCACUGGGCAGGUGUUCUGCAUACAUUAAAAUCUAAUUGAAUCCUCACAACAGCUCCACGGAACAGUUGUCAAGGCUGACCCAGAACCUAAGGGAGACAGACCAGAGGGAUAAAUCCAGAGAUAGAAAUGAGGUGUGGGGAGGUAAAAAGGAAGUGACCUGUCCCACAGUGAAUCUGCAGAAAAGCCAGUGAAGACCAGGUGGAUGAAAAUGAGGCUGGGGCCAUGCCCAUGGGGAGAUGUUGGACGAUGCUUGAGUGCAAGAUGGCAGCAGGCCGGGAGAGGCCCAGAAGAGAACUCACCACGCCGUGGGGUUCCUUAAUGACAUGGGGUGUCAAGCAUCUUUUCAUAUGCUUAUUUGCCAUCUGGAUAUCUUCUCUGAAGAGGUAACUGUUCAAAUCUUUCGCCCACUUUUUAAUUGGGUUGUUUGUUUUCUUAUUGUUGAGUUUUAAGAGUUCAUUGUACAUUUUGGAAACAAGCCCUUUAUCAGAUAAGUGUUUUGCAAGCACUUUCUCCCAGUCUGUGGCUUGUCUGUUCAUUCUCUUAAAAUAUACUGUAUUCACGUUAAAAUGAAACUUCAUAUCACAAUGGUAAUGGGGAAAGCAGAAUACUUUGCCAUGAAAGAAGGUAACCAUAAAAAUUUAAA
RNAcentral lists this long non-coding RNA (664 nucleotides) under Homo sapiens (human). RNAcentral describes it as "HSALNT0239997". The record is from RNAcentral. Lineage: Eukaryota; Metazoa; Chordata; Mammalia; Primates; Hominidae.